RNAcentral lists this ribosomal RNA (252 nucleotides) under uncultured Bacteroidales bacterium. RNAcentral's name for it is "partial 16S ribosomal RNA". It matches the Rfam family "Bacterial small subunit ribosomal RNA", at positions 524 to 776 of the family's 1533-position model. The record is from RNAcentral. Lineage: Bacteria; Pseudomonadati; Bacteroidota; Bacteroidia; Bacteroidales.
UACGUAGGUGGCAAGCGUUAUCCGGAAUUAUUGGGUUUAAAGGGUGCGCAGGCGGUCUGUUAAGUCAGCGGUCAAAGCCCGGGGCUCAACCCCGGCCCGCCAUUGAAACUGGCGUUCUUGAGUGAGCGAGAAGUAUGCGGAAUGCGUGGUGUAGCGGUGAAAUGCAUAGAUAUCACGCAGAACUCCGAUUGCGAAGGCAGCGUACCGGCGCCCAACUGACGCUGAAGCACGAAAGCGUGGGUAUCGAACAGG